This 498-nucleotide ribosomal RNA is filed under the name uncultured bacterium. Its description in RNAcentral is "partial 16S ribosomal RNA". It matches the Rfam family "Bacterial small subunit ribosomal RNA", at positions 30 to 523 of the family's 1533-position model. The record is from RNAcentral.
AUUGAACGCUGGCGGCAUGCUUUACACAUGCAAGUCGAACGGUAACAGGUCUUCGGAUGCUGACGAGUGGCGAACGGGUGAGUAAUGUAUCGGAACGUGCCCAGUAGUGGGGGAUAACUACUCGAAAGAGUGGCUAAUACCGCAUGAGAACUGAGGUUGAAAGUGGGGGACCGCAAGGCCUCACGCUACUGGAGCGGCCGAUAUCAGAUUAGGUAGUUGGUGGGGUAAAGGCCUACCAAGCCUGCGAUCUGUAGCUGGUCUGAGAGGACGACCAGCCACACUGGGACUGGGACACGGCCCAGACUCCUACGGGAGGCAGCAGUGGGGAAUUUUGGACAAUGGGCGCAAGCCUGAUCCAGCAAUGCCGCGUGCAGGACGAAGGCCUUCGGGUUGUAAACUGCUUUUGUACAGAACGAAAAGGCCUCUUCUAAUACAGAGGGUGCAUGACGGUACUGUAAGAAUAAGCACCGGCUAACUACGUGCCAGCAGCCGCGGUAA